AUCUUUUUAAUAUAAACAGUAUAUGAAGCUUCCAACUUCAAAAUCUUGGUGAGACUCCAAGAAAAGAUA
RNAcentral lists this transfer RNA (69 nucleotides) under Coelorinchus multispinulosus (spearnose grenadier). RNAcentral describes it as "tRNA-Gly". The record is from RNAcentral. Lineage: Eukaryota; Metazoa; Chordata; Actinopteri; Gadiformes; Macrouridae.